This 28-nucleotide non-coding RNA is filed under the name Cricetulus griseus (Chinese hamster). Lineage: Eukaryota; Metazoa; Chordata; Mammalia; Rodentia; Cricetidae. The record is from RNAcentral.
UUCUCGGGUAGAAACAGUCUGUGUUGAU